ACAGUCCGGGCCGGGCUCCACCGCGCGUCCGGUUCCACGCUGGCGACCGCCCCCGGGGCCCCCGCCGCGGGCGCGGCGCCCGCCAUGGGCGAGGAGGAUUACUACCUGGAGCUGUGCGAGCGGCCAGUGCAGUUCGAGAAGGCGAACCCUGUCAACUGCGUCUUCUUCGAUGAGGCCAACAAGCAGGUUUUUGCUGUUCGAUCUGGUGGAGCUACUGGUGUGGUAGUUAAAGGCCCAGAUGAUAGGAAUCCCAUCUCAUUUAGAAUGGAUGACAAAGGAGAAGUGAAGUGCAUUAAGUUUUCCUUAGAAAAUAAGAUAUUGGCUGUUCAGAGGACCUCAAAGACUGUGGAUUUUUGUAAUUUUAUCCCUGAUAAUUCCCAGUUGGAAUACACACAGGAGUGCAAGACUAAGAAUGCCAACAUUCUAGGAUUCUGCUGGACUAGUUCUACUGAAAUUGUCUUCAUAACAGAUCAAGGAAUCGAAUUUUACCAGGCUGGUGGAGUGCAAUGGCGCGAUCUCGGCUCACCGCAACCUCUGCCUCCCAGGUUCAAGCGAUUCUCCUGUC
Molecule: small RNA, 565 nt
Filed under: Pongo abelii (Sumatran orangutan)
Lineage: Eukaryota; Metazoa; Chordata; Mammalia; Primates; Hominidae
Description: processed transcript
Source: RNAcentral